RNAcentral lists this ribosomal RNA (255 nucleotides) under uncultured bacterium. Its description in RNAcentral is "partial 16S ribosomal RNA". It matches the Rfam family "Bacterial small subunit ribosomal RNA", at positions 524 to 777 of the family's 1533-position model. The record is from RNAcentral.
UACGGAGGGGGCUAGCGUUGUUCGGAAUUACUGGGCGUAAAGCGCGCGUAGGCGGAUCUGCAAGUCGGGGGUGAAAUCCCGAGGCUCAACCUCGGAACUGCCUUCGAUACUGCGGGUCUCGAGUCCGGGAGAGGUGAGUGGGAAUUCCUAGUGUAGAGGUGAAAUUCGUAGAUAUUAGGAAGAACACCAGUGGCGAAGGCGGCUCACUGGCCCGGUACUGACGCUGAGGCGCGAAAGCGUGGGGAGCAAACAGGG